Molecule: ribosomal RNA, 465 nt
Filed under: uncultured bacterium
Lineage: Bacteria
Description: partial 16S ribosomal RNA
Rfam family: Bacterial small subunit ribosomal RNA
Source: RNAcentral
CCUACGGGAGGCAGCAGUAGGGAAUCUUCCACAAUGGGCGAAAGCCUGAUGGAGCAACGCCGCGUGGGUGAAGAAGGUCUUCGGAUCGUAAAACCCUGUUGUUAGAGAAGAAAGUGCGUGAGAGUAACUGUUCACGUUUCGACGGUAUCUAACCAGAAAGCCACGGCUAACUACGUGCCAGCAGCCGCGGUAAUACGUAGGUGGCAAGCUUUAUCCGGAUUUAUUGGGCGUAAAGGGAACGCAGGCGGUCUUUUAAGUCUGAUGUGAAAGCCUUCGGCUUAACCGGAGUAGUGCAUUGGAAACUGGGAGACUGGAGUGCAGAAGAGGAGAGUGGAACUCCAUGUGUAGCGGUGAAAUGCGUAGAUAUAUGGAAGAACACCAGUGGCGAAAGCGGCUCUCUGGUCUGUAACUGACGCUGAGGUUCGAAAGCGUGGGUAGCAAACAGGAUUAGAUACCCCGGUAGUC